This 253-nucleotide ribosomal RNA is filed under the name uncultured bacterium. RNAcentral's name for it is "partial 16S ribosomal RNA". It matches the Rfam family "Bacterial small subunit ribosomal RNA", at positions 524 to 776 of the family's 1533-position model. The record is from RNAcentral.
UACGAAGGGUGCAAACGUUGCUCGGAAUUAUUGGGCGUAAAGCGCACGUAGGCGGAUGUGUCAGUCAGGGGUGAAAUCCCGGAGCUCAACUUCGGAACUGCCUCUGAUACAGCACGUCUUGAGUCCGGAAGAGGUGGGUGGAAUUCCUAGUGUAGAGGUGAAAUUCGUAGAUAUUAGGAAGAACACCGGUGGCGAAGGCGGCAUCCUGGACCGGUAUUGACGCUGAGGCGCGAAAGCCAGGGGAGCAAACGGG